GGCUGAGUUGGGCCUUUUUUCACCACUGGCAGAGCCGUCCUCUGCGACACAGAUGACCAUUUUUUAUGACGGAAAAGUGUUGGUGUUCAAUGAUCUACCGCCGGAGAGGGCGGAGGAGAUCAUGGCCAUGGCCGGUAAGGGAAUUGUGCCUUGUUCCAGAUCUACCCCCACCACUGUCCCCGACAAGGUUAUGGAACCAACAAUCGCCAGAGAACAACCUCUGACCAAAGUCUCUAGCGAUUUACCCAUUGCAAGAAGAGCUUCUCUGCAUCGAUUCUUCGAGAAGAGAAAAGACAGAGUAUCAGCAAGAGCCCCAUACCAAGUGAAUUCACAGCCUUCUUCUAAACCGACUGGCGAAAGCUACAAAUUCAACAAGGAAAACCAGCAA
RNAcentral lists this unclassified non-coding RNA (388 nucleotides) under Hevea brasiliensis (rubber tree). Lineage: Eukaryota; Viridiplantae; Streptophyta; Magnoliopsida; Malpighiales; Euphorbiaceae. The record is from RNAcentral.